UACGUAGGGUGCAAGCGUUAAUCGGAAUUACUGGGCGUAAAGCGUGCGCAGGCGGUUAUGUAAGACAGUUGUGAAAUCCCCGGGCUCAAACUGGGAACUGCAUCUGUGACUGCAUAGCUAGAGUACGGUAGAGGGGGAUGGAAUUCCGCGUGUAGCAGUGAAAUGCGUAGAUAUGCGGAGGAACACCGAUGGCGAAGGCAAUCCCCUGGACCUGUACUGACGCUCAUGCACGAAAGCGUGGGGAGCAAACAGG
This 253-nucleotide ribosomal RNA is filed under the name uncultured bacterium. Its description in RNAcentral is "partial 16S ribosomal RNA". It matches the Rfam family "Bacterial small subunit ribosomal RNA", at positions 524 to 776 of the family's 1533-position model. The record is from RNAcentral.